This 533-nucleotide ribosomal RNA is filed under the name uncultured bacterium. Its description in RNAcentral is "bacterial SSU rRNA". It matches the Rfam family "Bacterial small subunit ribosomal RNA", at positions 774 to 1304 of the family's 1533-position model. The record is from RNAcentral.
AGUAAAUAGAUACCCCGGUAGUCCACGUCGUAAACGAUGUCGACUUGGAGGUUGUGCCCUUGAGGCGUGGCUUCCGGAGCUAAACGCGUUAAAGUCGACCGCCUGGGGAGUACGGCCGCAAGGUUAAAACUCAAAUGAAUUGACGGGGGCCCGCACAAGCGGUGGAGCAUGUGGUUUAAUUCGAUGCAACGCGAAGAACCUUACCUACUCUUGACAUCCAGAGAACUUAGCAGAGAUGCUUUGGUGCCUUCGGGAACUCUGAGACAGGUGCUGCAUGGCUGUCGUCAGCUCGUGUUGUGAAAUGUUGGGUUAAGUCCCGCAACGAGCGCAACCCUUAUCCUUUGUUGCCCGCGGUUAGGCCGGGAACUCAAAGGAGACUGCCAGUGAUAAACUGGAGGAAGGUGGGGAUGACGUCAAGUCAUCAUGGCCCUUACGAGUAGGGCUACACACGUGCUACAAUGGCGCAUACAAAGAGAAGCGACCUCGCGAGAGCAAGCGGACCUCAUAAAGUGCGUCGUAGUCCGGAUUGGAGU